RNAcentral lists this ribosomal RNA (713 nucleotides) under uncultured Alphaproteobacteria bacterium. RNAcentral describes it as "bacterial SSU rRNA". It matches the Rfam family "Bacterial small subunit ribosomal RNA", at positions 38 to 796 of the family's 1533-position model. The record is from RNAcentral. Lineage: Bacteria; Pseudomonadati; Pseudomonadota; Alphaproteobacteria.
GGCGGAACGCCUAACACAUGCAAGUCGAACGAAGUASCAAUACUUAGUGGCAGACGGGUGAGUAACAUGUGGGUAUCUACCCUUUGGCCUGGAAUAACACGAGGAAACUUGUGCUAAUACCGGAUAAGUCUUUACGGAGAAAGCUUUAUGCACCAUUGGAUGAGCCCGCACUUGAUUAGUUUGUUGGUAGGGUAAUGGCCUACCAAGACUAUGAUCAAUAGCUGAUUUGAGAGGAUGAUCAGCCACAUUGGGACUGAGACACGGCCCAAACUCCUACGGGAGGCAGCAGUGGGGAAUCUUGCACAAUGGAGGAAACUCUGAUGCAGCGAUGCCGCGUGAGUGAAGAAGGCCUUUGGGUUGUAAAGCUCUUUCGUCGGGGAAGAAAAUGACUGUACCCGAAUAAGAAGGUCCGGCUAACUUCGUGCCAGCAGCCGCGGUAAUACGAAGGGACCUAGCGUAGUUCGGAAUUACUGGGCUUAAAGAGUUCGUAGGUGGUUGAAAAAGUUGGUGGUGAAAUCCCAGAGCUUAACUCUGGAACUGCCAUCAAAACUUUUCAGCUAGAGUAUGAUAGAGGAAAGCAGAAUUUCUAGUGUAGAGGUGAAAUUCGUAGAUAUUAGAAAGAAUACCAAUUGCGAAGGCAGCUUUCUGGAUCAUUACUGACACUGAGGAACGAAAGCAUGGGUAGCGAAGAGGAUUAGAUACCCUCGUAGUCA